Molecule: ribosomal RNA, 652 nt
Filed under: uncultured bacterium
Lineage: Bacteria
Description: bacterial SSU rRNA
Rfam family: Bacterial small subunit ribosomal RNA
Source: RNAcentral
GGCGGACGGGUGAGUAACGCGUAAGGAACUUGCCUCUUGGACUGGGACAACUGUUGGAAACGACAGCUAAUACCGGAUAUUAUGAGAUUCUCGCAUGAGAAACUUAUGAAAGCUAUAUGCGCCAAGAGAGAGCCUUGCGUUCCAUUAGCUAGUUGGUGGGGUAACGGCCCACCAAGGCGACGAUGGAUAGCCGGCCUGAGAGGGUGAACGGCCACAAGGGGACUGAGACACGGCCCUUACUCCUACGGGAGGCAGCAGUGGGGAAUAUUGGACAAUGGGCCACAAGCCUGAUCCAGCAAUUCUGUGUGCACGAUGAAGGUCUUCGGAUUGUAAAGUGCUUUCAGUUGGGAAGAAGAAAGUGACGGUACCAACAGAAGAAGCGACGGCUAAAUACGUGCCAGCAGCCGCGGUAAUACGUAUGUCGCAAGCGUUAUCCGGAUUUAUUGGGCGUAAAGCGCGUCUAGGCGGAAAAAUAAGUCUGAUGUUAAAAUGCGGGGCUCAACUCCGUAUUGCGUUGGAAACUGUUUUUCUAGAGUACUGGAGAGGUGGGCGGAACUACAAGUGUAGAGGUGAAAUUCGUAGAUAUUUGUAGGAAUGCCGAUGGAGAAGUCAGCUCACUGGACAGAUACUGACGCUGAAGCGCGAAAGCGUG